ACUACGGGGUGCAGCAGUGAGGAAUAUUGGUCAAUGGACGAGAGUCUGAACCAGCCAAGUAGCGUGAAGGAUGACUGCCCUAUGGGUUGUAAACUUCUUUUAUAUGGGAAUAAAAUGUUCCACGUGUGGGAUUUUGUAUGUACCAUAUGAAUAAGGAUCGGCUAACUCCGUGCCAGCAGCCGCGGUAAUACGGAGGAUCCGAGCGUUAUCCGGAUUUAUUGGGUUUAAAGGGAGCGUAGGUGGAUUGUUAAGUCAGUUGUGAAAGUUUGCGGCUCAACCGUAAAAUUGAAGUUGAAACUGGCAGUCUUGAGUACAGUAGAGGUGGGGGGAAUUGGUGGUGUAGAGGUGAAAUGAUUGG
This 358-nucleotide ribosomal RNA is filed under the name uncultured bacterium. RNAcentral describes it as "partial 16S ribosomal RNA". It matches the Rfam family "Bacterial small subunit ribosomal RNA", at positions 338 to 693 of the family's 1533-position model. The record is from RNAcentral.